CGCCCUUCAGGCCUAACACAUGCAAGUCGUACGCGAAAGGGGAAACCAGCUUGCUGGGGACCCCGAGUAGAGUGGCGAACGGGAGCGUAACACGUGAGGAACCUGCCUCGGAGUGGGGAAUAACCCAGAGGAAUCUGGGCUAACUCCGCAUGAUGCAGCGGCCCCGCAUGGGGACAGUUGUUAAAGACCGCCUCUGCUUGCAAGCGGUCGCUUCGAGAUGGCCUCGCGGCCUAUCAGCUAGUUGGCGGGGUAAUGGCCCACCAAGGCGACGACGGGUAGCCGGCCUGAGAGGGUGUCCGGCCUCAUUGGGACUGAGACACGGCCCAGACUCCUACGGGAGGCAGCAGUGAGGAAUCUUGCGCAAUGGGCGAAAGCCUGACGCAGCGACGCCGCGUGAGGGAUGAAGGCCUUCGGGUUGUAAACCUCUGUCAGGGGGGAAGAACCUGGAGCCGGUGAAUAACCGUCUCCACUGACGGUACCCCCAGAGGAAGCACCGGCUAACUCCGUGCCAGCAGCCGCGGUAAUACAGGGGGUGCAAACGUUGCUCGGAAUCAUUGGGCGUAAAGCGCACGUAGGCGGUCUGUUAUGUCGGAUGUGAAAGCCCUUGGCUUAACUGAGGAAGUGCAUCCGAAACUGGCAGGCUAGAGUACUAAAGAGGGUCGCGGAAUUCCCGGUGUAGAGGUGAAAUUCGUAGAUAUCGGGAGGAACACCGGUGGCCAAAGGCGG
Molecule: ribosomal RNA, 726 nt
Filed under: uncultured bacterium
Lineage: Bacteria
Description: bacterial SSU rRNA
Rfam family: Bacterial small subunit ribosomal RNA
Source: RNAcentral